GCUGUGAUGGCCGAGUGGUUAAGGCGUUGGACUCGAGAUUCGGUGGGGUGCCUGCGCGUAGGUUCAAAUUUUGCUCACAGCG
Non-coding RNA from Pongo abelii (Sumatran orangutan), 82 nucleotides. The record is from Rfam. NCBI's taxonomy places the organism in Eukaryota, Metazoa, Chordata, Mammalia, Primates, Hominidae.